GUGGGGAAUAUUCCGCAAUGGACGAAAGUCUGACGGAGCAACGCCGCGUGAGUGAUGAAGGUUUUCGGACUGUAAAGCUCUGUUGUUUAGGACGAAAGUGCCUGUUGCGAACAGUUACAGGUAUUGACGGUACUAAACGAGGAAGCCACGGCUAACUACGUGCCAGCAGCCGCGGUAAUACGUAGGUGGCAAGCGUUGUCCGGAAUUAUUGGGCGUAAAGAGCAUGCAGGCGGAGAUUUAAGUCUGUUGUGAAAAUGCGGGGCUCAACCCCGUAUUGCGAUGGAAACUGAAUUUCUUGAGUGCAGGAGAGGAAAGGGGAAUUCCCAGUGUAGCGGUGAAAUGCGUAGAUAUUGGGAGGAACACCAGUGGCGAAGGCGCCUUUCUGGACUGUGUCUGACGCUGAGAUGCGAAAGCCAGGGUAGCGAACGGGAUUAGAUACCCCUGUAGUCC
This 450-nucleotide ribosomal RNA is filed under the name uncultured bacterium. RNAcentral's name for it is "partial 16S ribosomal RNA". It matches the Rfam family "Bacterial small subunit ribosomal RNA", at positions 354 to 796 of the family's 1533-position model. The record is from RNAcentral.